This 343-nucleotide unclassified non-coding RNA is filed under the name soil metagenome. RNAcentral's name for it is "partial contains 5.8S ribosomal RNA, internal transcribed spacer 2, and large subunit ribosomal RNA". The stretch from base 1 to 120 matches the Rfam family "5.8S ribosomal RNA", at positions 35 to 154 of the family's 154-position model. The record is from RNAcentral.
GAUGAAGAACGUAGUGAAAUGCGACAAGUAAUGUGAAUUGCAGAAUUCAGUGAAUCAUCGAAUCUUUGAACGCACAUUGCGCCCGCUAGUAUUCUGGCGGGCAUGCCUGUCCGAGCGUCAUUUCAACCCUCAAGCCCCCGGGCUUGGUGUUGGGGAUCGGCGAGCCUCCGCGCCCGCCGUCCCCUAAAUCUAGUGGCGGUCUCGCUGUAGCUUCCUCUGCGUAGUAGCACACCUCGCACUGGGAAACAGCGCGGCCACGCCGUUAAACCCCCAACUUCUGAACGUUUGACCUCGGAUCAGGUAGGAAUACCCGCUGAACUUAAGCAUAUCAAUAAGCGGAGGA